GAUGAUGUUCCAAACAUUCUCAAUUCACUUGCAUUGCAAAUGGCAGCAGAGAUAGUUCCGCCAUAUAUUUGUGUGCAAACAUUAUUAUAUCAUUUACAAAAUUAAUUUCUACUUGCAUUUUCUCUGAACCGCACAACGUUUUCGGUACAACGCACGUUGUCGGAAAAAUUUGUGUCACUGUUUUGCUCUUUUUCGUUGUUCAUAACAUUUUUUAGCAAUGUAAUCGUGUUCAUAAUAUUUGUAGGUGCAAGGUAUAGUCAUAGUUGCUUAAUCGACACAUCAUUUAAAAAUAAAUUCAAAUAUCUCUGGUGUUGGUUGACCUAAUUUGAAUUUUUCUGACAGAAAACCGUCUGUUUCAAUUGUGCAUCGAUUCAGUGAAUAAUCAACUGCACUGUCGUCGACUUCUCUCAGAACAUAUUUUCUGUUCGUAAAGUCUGAAUAUAAGUCUAAAAACAGCUCACAGUUAUCAAACGGAGCCCACCUACUGUAAACAACCAUAUCCACAAGAUUUAGCUUUAUCAAAUCUUUUAUAUUUUGGUCGAUUUUAAUAAAUGGGGUGCAUUGUGUUACACUAAGUUCUUUCGUAAGUGGUUUUCAGCUAUAUAAAAGCCCGAUUGCGUGAAUGUUCUCGGCGGGUGCCGAAAAACAAAUUCUUUUGAAACCAUAACUACGAAUAAAGCUGCGAUCUUGUGCGUUUUAUCUAAAUAUUAACGGAUUUGUUCAGUCGUGGAUGACGUGUUAGUGGUCUCCGUGUGCGGAAACAAUGAAGACUUCACCUUUGUAACGUCUUCACAUCUGUGAAAUGCAUUUACAAUAACUAUUUCAUGUAUUUCUUUACUACCAUACCUAUCUAAACCUAUUUCAAACUCAAAUGAGGAUAUAAUUUAUUUAUUAUCGUGACAAAGUCGACCAAUCUGGUCAUAUACCCCGAAUACAUGGAUACAGAUUUGUUUUCAAAUACACUGCACGGAUUUUCGGGUUUUCUUUUACUGUGUGGUAGGUUUUUCCUCGUGAUAUUGGAUUUUCGCAGUUUUCAGGAGACUGUUGGGAUAUAUAUAUAUCCUAUCAUCAGUGCCUGCCUAAAUAAAAAAGUAGCUAAAUAACGCUGAUCUGAUUUUUCUUGGGUUUGUGAAAUUUUUGUUUGUGUCAUGCAAAAAUUUUAAUAACAGAGUAUUCCGUUUUAAAGAAUCUUCACUAGUAUCAAUGGAAUGACAAUAUUGAAAGAUAAUAUUGGCCGUUUCCAUUAUGUUAAUAUUUACUGUUCCUUCUCUGGACUCAGUUUUAACCCUCUGAUCGUUUGUUGCGUUUACACCUUAACUUCGUUUCAUGGGGCGUACAGCGCCCCAAGUGCAUUUUGUAUAAAAACUUGAUUGUAAUAUGAGAUAGCGACUUAGUGUCUUUGACAAAGUUGUAGUACUUAACCCGCUCUACAACAUUGCUGAAGACACAUAUUGCUUAUCUCUUAUCAGUUCCGCGAAAUACGCGAAAAACCGCGAAAACGUGAAUUUUCGGCUCCUCAUUUUUCACGGAAUUGACAAGAUGUAAAUGAUGAGUGCUUUCAAUCAUCACUACAAUUUUUUGAAGACACCAUCUCCUUAUCUCUUAUCAGUUCCGCGGAAAAUGAUAAGAGAAAAUUCGCGUUUUUCGCGAUUUUUCGCGUAAAUGAUAAGAGAUAACGAAUUGGUGUCUUCGGCAAAGUUGUAGUAUUCAGCCGGCACUAUAAAUUUUCCGAAAACAGAUAUCGCUUAUCUCUUAUCAGUUACGCAAUAUACGCGAAAAACCGCGAAAGAUCUCCCACUGCUCUACAGCUUUCCUGAAGACAGAUAUCUAUUAUCUCUUAUCAGUUCCGUGAUAAAUGGAAAACCGAAUAUUUGCGUUUUCGCGGUUUUUCGCGUAUUUUGCGGAACUGAUAAGAGAUAAGCGAUAUCUGUCUUUAGUAAAGAUGUAGAGGACCUCUAGUACUACAUAUUUGCCGAAGACAUUAAAUCGUUAUCUCUUAUCACAGUCCAGUUUUCAUGAAAAAAUACACUUGGGGCGUCGUACGCCCCAAUUCUGUCAAUUAUCAGUUCCAAAAAUUUGUUUAUUCCAUUUUCAUCUUUUUCAGCAAUACAUUUUUUUUAUAUUCGGUUUAUUUAUAAUGCCUCGGUAAAUUAAGCUUUUUAUUUUUUCGUUGCUAUUUUAUAUCUUGUCCAAUCGUUCAGAACGAGAUAACAGGUACAAAUAUGGGAUUGGUUUUAUUCCGAUUGAUAUAAAAAUAAGUCAAAAAAGUGUAUUGUACAUAUAUGUAUAAAUUGAAGAUAAUCAAAAAUAUUACAUUAUAGUUACAUGGUUGACUAGUUAAUAGUUGCCAUUGAUUGAGAAAAGAACAGCAGAAGCUUUGCGAGAUAACCGCUGGCCACUGUUCGAAAUGAAUUUAAAUAGCAAAAUUAACAAUGUGAAAAUACUUUUUGAUUUCAAUUAAUAGCUCAAAGAUACGUAUAUUCCGUUACGGAACGGACACAUUAAACAUUUAAUCAGAAUGUAAAUAUACGGAAAAUAUGCUUUUAAAAACAUAAAAUACUUAAGACAAACGAAAUGAAAUUAAAUGGGCCAGUAAUAUUUUGCAGGGUAGCUUUUUUUGUUACAUCUUUCGAUCUUUCGUAUGUUUUGUAAUUCAAUCGAUUUUAAACACAAUAAUUUUUGAGGCAUUUUUUAAAACCCAACUAAAUCUAAAAGUAUGUUGACUAUAAAAAAAACUCUUGAUUUUUUUUCCCCAAAGAAUAUUCGAGAGAUUGAUGCACAGUUCAAUGAAAUAAAUUCAAUCAUCAAUAUUGGAAAAAUUGAUACUAAAUAAUAAUAAUUUGACCAAUUUAGCACGUCUACCACCAUUAGGCAACUUAAAGUAUUUGUUAAUUGACAGAAAUGGCAUCGAAUUCACUGAUUUUAACGAUCUUUCUUAUCCCGGAAAAUUGUGGUAUUUAGUGAUAGAGCUAAAUCUAAAACAAAAUAUUAGUGCGGCUGAAUUUAAACAAUUUUACCAUAUCUUAGAGUAUUGUACAUAUGUUUUCCUGGCCAGAGUUUGACUCAGGCGACAGAUAUAUGCUUUAGCAUAGAAAAAAUAUCCGCAUAUUUUUUGGUUUGUCCACUCUCAGUAUAUAACGGCACCCAGCUUCAUCGAGUAUCAGCACGCACACUGAACGUAGUAAUAUAGAUUAUAGAACGGUUUGUUUACAAAGAAAAAAAAUUGUUUAUAAACAAAAUCUUCCAGAGUUGUACAGCGCAAUGUAUUUGGACGGCAGCAAUGCUGUCCUAUGUUAAGGUUUUGCGCUUUAUAGUUCUGGUAGAUUUUGUUUAUAAACAAUUUUUUUCUUCGUAAACCAACCGUCCUAUACUACCACGUUCAGUGUGCGUGCUGAUACUCGAUGAAGCUGGGUGCCGUUAUAUACUGAGAGUGGACAAACCAAAAAAUAUGCGGAUAUUUUUUCUAUGCUAAAGCAUAUAUCUGUCGCCUGAGUCAAACUCUGUUCCUGGCAUGAGUAUCGACCAGCAAAAACGAAUUUUAUACGAUUUUAAACGCCACGAAAUUUUUCAUUUAAUUUUGUUUUGCGGCAUUUGGUGGGAAAAAACAAUAAAAACCCAAAUAUUAGAGUAAUUUUCUUUGGUUUUUCAAUUUUCGUGAUUUUCUUAAUUAUCUGUAAAAUUCAUGUAUUUAUUAAAAGUAGUAGAUAAGUUGAAAUUGUUAGCUGUAUCAGAUAAGUCAACAACACUCGCUCUGCAGGCCAUUCGCAUGAUGAUCGAAAUUCAUUCAAAAAAUGCUGUGCUCCAAAUGUUCAAUACCAAAAAAAAUCCAUCGAUCGAUUCUAAGAAUCUGAAAGUAACUUCAUGAAAAUAUUUCAAGAAGUAAUUGAAGCCGCCAUCUCAACGAAGGAUCAGCCAACGAAUAUCCGUUGAAGAUCAUAACUAUGCGAAAACUUGUGUUUCUGAUCAGAAUUAACGAAACCAUUACGCUAUUGGUGACGGAAACAGACAUCGUUGAAUGCGAGGCUCAGAAGAAGGGAUGCAUGCAAGAUUGUAAAAAAACCGCGCUUGUGAAAUGCCAUUCAUUGAUCAAUCAUCCGUUGAAUCUACGACGAAAAAAGAAAAAGCGAGAAAAUGAAACGGAUUCUUUAGCAUGGAUUCCAAUAUCAAUUCGAUCACAUUUCCUUCAUCGUGCCCACUCGAGUGGUGGAACGACUCAGAUGUGGAUCGAAAGUCAAUACUCAACACGGCAUUUUUGUCUGUAGAGGCAUAUUGGACCAAUAGCCAAGCUUAGCAGCCCUGAUCUUUGAAUGAUUUCAGCUCAGACCAACUAAUAACCAAAAGAGAGAUAAGAACGACCGACGACCACAAUUCACCGUAUCAAUCAAGAAAAAGAAGGUGAAUGAACUUCAAAAUGAUUGGCAGCUGAUCUUUACGUCCACUUCGACUGUGGCUUUACUAUGUUGAAUAGACUUCUGCAGCAAACCAUUUGAAACGAUCAAUACAAGAGCGACAUCUUAAAUACUCUACGGUCAAACUACGAUUAGUUGAAAAAAAGCAACGCACUAUAAAAUAAUAAAAUGCGAUAUGACGUUUUAUUUAGUUUUUCACAGUAACUUUAUUAAAAUAAUGUAAGAGUCGAAAAAUCGGCACCCGCGCCCGUUCCAUACAAACGGAACCUCUGCUAGAAGUCUGAACGAUGAACGUAGUCGGUUCAUCUUACUUAUACUAAUUUCUGAAUCUUAAAUUAGCCGUAUCACAUUGUGAAUGAAUCAUUUCUAUCGAAUGAUCCAUCAUCUCCAUCGAAUAACAAGCCGUCUCCAUGAAUGAAUGACUAAGGAGAACAACUGCUCUGUGUGAGAUAUUUAUAAUGAUGGGAUGAUCGGAUGAUCUAAUUAGAAUGAUUCACUUGGAUGGCCCAUGGGCACAAAAAUAGAAUAUUGAGGAUAGGAUUAUUUUACUGUGUUACAUAGUGAGGUGAUUCAUCUAUAUCACAUGGCAGUGACUGUCUAUAUUGAUACGCAUACGCCAAUGUAUGAAUAAUAUUGUUGUUGAUACUUAAUUCGUAAAUAGUUUCAUUACAGCACAUCACUUCAAUUUCUUUUUGAAAUCAACAUAAAGUUCGAACAAAUACUGUAAUCUUGGCAAUAGAAUGUAGUUUAGAGCAAUUAAAAUAUGUGAAACCACAUACGUAAUUUGGUAUGAUGACACAUUUUAUAAUGAAUAAAUUUAAGAAUUGAUUCCGAGAUAAGGUUAGAAAACAGAACUUUAAUAUAACUGUAUCCUUGGACUGAAAAUAAAAUCGGUAAAUUUAA
Long non-coding RNA from Sitodiplosis mosellana (orange wheat blossom midge), 5312 nucleotides. RefSeq lists it as uncharacterized. The record is from RefSeq and is a predicted model, not a curated record. The transcript has 3 exons. Lineage: Eukaryota; Metazoa; Arthropoda; Insecta; Diptera; Cecidomyiidae.